Lagopus leucura (white-tailed ptarmigan) is the source of this 813-nucleotide long non-coding RNA. RefSeq lists it as uncharacterized. The record is from RefSeq and is a predicted model, not a curated record. The transcript is spliced from 4 exons. Lineage: Eukaryota; Metazoa; Chordata; Aves; Galliformes; Phasianidae.
CCUUGAGUACCUGAGGUCUUCUGGAGAUUUCCAGUGUAAAUCCAUAACGUACAAACUGUUGUUUCAGGACAUUUCACUAGAAAACAGGAGCACCAGCAAGUGGCAUUUCCAAAAGUCAGUGGGGGCCUGGGGAACUCUGCAGCUGCUGUGCAGAAGUGACAGGUGGGAGGCAGAAAUGCACCUUAUGCUGUGGUCUGGCUGUCACUGUCAUGCUCUGCUGGACUCCUACCUAGGGAGAAGCUCUCAAAGAAGCUGUCUUGAAGACUGUUGUUAGGGAGUUGAAUCCAAAUUACAAGCAGGAUCCAAGGGGGCAUUUGGAAAUCCUUACAUUGGGUCCAUGGAUCCAAGUUAGGGCCAAAAAUGGGUAUAAGAAAACCUGCAGAUAAAGAGCUAAUUGGAUUCUUGUACAUACAAAAUCCCAUGUUGCUACAAGAGUGCAAAGCACUUGUUGCAAAGUGCAAAGCAAAUGACACAUCCAGACCACCCAAGUUCUAAGAUAUACCUAGAGUGCAAAAAACAUUACAUAAAACUAGAGCAGUUGUCCUGUCUCAAACAGAAGAUGCACUGAGCCUAGUACUCUGAUAACAGUUUAGUUUGGGAAGGGGACCUCCAGGUUAUUGGAAAUGGGUGCUUUCUUACAUACAUCCUUCAGAAGUACAGAAAUAACUCAAAGCUUAUUUAAUAAAUAUUUGCAUGCUGCAGUGCUGGUUUUAGUCUUUUUCUAACACUUGCCCUGGCCCUAACCUUCUGCCUUGCCUUUGAUCUUGGAGUCUCAGAGCCUUAGUUCCUAGCUAUUGCUGCCAUUAUUUCUUC